Molecule: ribosomal RNA, 305 nt
Filed under: uncultured bacterium
Lineage: Bacteria
Description: bacterial SSU rRNA
Rfam family: Bacterial small subunit ribosomal RNA
Source: RNAcentral
GUAACCUACGGGGGGCAGCAGUCGGGAAUAUUGCACAAUGGAGGAAACUCUGAUGCAGUGACACCGCGUAUAGGAAGAAGGUUUUCGGAUUGUAAACUAUUUAGACAGGGAAGAAAAAAGACAGUACCUGUAGAAUAAGCUCCGGCUAACUACGUGCCAGCAGCCGCGGUAAUACGUAGGGAGCAAGCGUUAUCCGGAAUUAUUGGGUGUAAAGGGUGCGUAGACGGGACAGCAAGUUAGUUGUGAAAUCCCUCGGCUUAACUGAGGAACUGCAACUAAAACUGAUUUUCUUGAGUACUGGAGAG